GACGAACGCUGGCGGCGUGCUUAACACAUGCAAGUCGAACGGUAAGGCCCUUCGGGGUACACGAGUGGCAAACGGGUGAGUAACACGUGGGUGAUCUGCCCUGCACUUCGGGAUAAGCCUGGGAAACUGGGUCUAAUACCGGAUAGGACCACUGCCUGCAUGGGUGGUGGUGGAAAGCUUUUGCGGUGUGGGAUGGGCCCGCGGCCUAUCAGCUUGUUGGUGGGGGGAUGGCCUACCAAGGCGACGACGGGUAGCCGGCCUGAGAGGGUGACCGGCCACACUGGGACUGAGAUACGGCCCAGACUCCUACGGGAGGCAGCAGUGGGGAAUAUUGCACAAUGGGCGCAAGCCUGAUGCAGCGACGCCGCGUGAGGGAUGACGGCCUUCGGGUUGUAAACCUCUUUCAGCACCGACGAAGCGCAAGUGACGGUAGGUGCAGAAGAAGGACCGGCCAACUACGUGCCAGCAGCCGCGGUAA
This 478-nucleotide ribosomal RNA is filed under the name uncultured bacterium. Its description in RNAcentral is "partial 16S ribosomal RNA". It matches the Rfam family "Bacterial small subunit ribosomal RNA", at positions 28 to 523 of the family's 1533-position model. The record is from RNAcentral.